AAACCAGCACCCCAAGUGGUCAGGAGGAUUAUUGGGCCUAAAGCAUCCGUAGCCUGUUCUAUAAGUUUCCGGUUAAAUCCACUAGCUCAACUAGUGGGCUGCCGAAAAUACUGUAGAACUAGGGAGUGGGAGAGGUAGACGGUAUUCGGUAGGAAGGGGUAAAAUCCUUUGAUCUAUUGAGGACCACCUGUGGCGAAGGCGGUCUUCCAGAACACGUUCGACGGUGAGGGAUGAAAGCUGGGGGAGCAAACCGGAUUAGAAACCCGAGUAGUCC
RNAcentral lists this ribosomal RNA (274 nucleotides) under uncultured bacterium. RNAcentral's name for it is "partial 16S ribosomal RNA". It matches the Rfam family "Archaeal small subunit ribosomal RNA", at positions 473 to 747 of the family's 1478-position model. The record is from RNAcentral.